This 23-nucleotide non-coding RNA is filed under the name Cricetulus griseus (Chinese hamster). Lineage: Eukaryota; Metazoa; Chordata; Mammalia; Rodentia; Cricetidae. The record is from RNAcentral.
AUUUGAGAAAAACUUGAGUCAGG